Molecule: long non-coding RNA, 389 nt
Filed under: Mytilus galloprovincialis (Mediterranean mussel)
Lineage: Eukaryota; Metazoa; Mollusca; Bivalvia; Mytilida; Mytilidae
Source: RNAcentral
AGGUAACAUUCGGAGAAAUGAGGACUGACUAGAGGUUAUUACAAUGGGAACAUAUCCGUGGUAAUUCGUGAAAUAGGUACUCCGUAACGGUCAACCAACUCGUGAUGGCGUCCGUAAAAAUUACGAAAGUAUGAGUUCAACUUUUCCACUUUGAACACCUGGUUUCAUCAGAGCUUAUUUGUUAACAGCAACCCAUUAUCACGAAAAUAAUUAUAAGAAAUGCAAGCCCUGAAAUAUCGUAUUAACUGAGAGAUAUAUACAUUUUAUUUCUCCAUAUGCAGGCCUAGGCGCUGCUGGAAUGUGUGUUUAAAGUGUUCUUGUCAUUAAGUUUUUUAAAAGUCAACACGGAGCAGUUGUUACUUAAUAAGAACAUUGGUUAAAGUUUUCAC